RNAcentral lists this long non-coding RNA (5483 nucleotides) under Daphnia pulex (common water flea). RNAcentral's name for it is "uncharacterized LOC124190942". Lineage: Eukaryota; Metazoa; Arthropoda; Branchiopoda; Diplostraca; Daphniidae. The record is from RNAcentral.
UGAGAAUCACGAUCCACAGGUCGACAGCCACGAUCACUCUUAACACAUACAAUCUUCUUUAAUUUACUUUUCAUUCUUUAUUAUCCAAGACUAGCCAGUAGCCAUGACAUAUACCUUCGUUAAAGUCUUAAGCUUCGCAGUACUUACAAACGGUAAAAAUUGUCGUCACUGAAUGUUUGGGAUGGAUCUAAAAAAAGGAAGAAGAAACGUUAACGAAAUCAUUUCGAUAGCAUCUCCAGGACCGUUUCCAUCUCUCAACAUGGCGAAUGGCUAGACUGAAUAGUAUACUUGGACCGAUACCUUCGAAACUGGGAUUUCUACGUGAUUUGGUACCACGCUAGCAGAUCAACCAGUGGGCAGAUGUCGAAGUGAAAUCUGCAGUAAUCUCCUGUAACUAAUACGCCAUUCAGUUGACAGUUUGACACCAUAUUAAGGAGAUUUUCUAUUCCACCCAACCUGGACCAGCCAGAGAGCUUGACGCAAGUGAACUGAUUCGGGGGGUUUUUGCAUCCCUAAAGUAAUUCCCAAACCACCAUAUUAGCUUAUCCGAUCAAAGGAAAAGCCACCGUAAAUUUUGGUACCUUACGAGCCAGUAUCAAUCCAUCGUCCUUAAAAUUGCUACAAAUGAAAGAGAUAGUUAAAGUUCAUAGGUGUUCCUCGGAGGAGCUACGUCGAUGUAAACACUCGAGGACUUGACUGAUGGACAGCAGGAUUGGUGCUGGAUUAUUGAAGAUACCGUCUGUUAUGCACGUCUGUAACAGACUGCUUUGACCGGAAAGCUGCUGAGUCCAGGCCGUCAGUGUCGACACAAAAAUGAGGGUUACCUGGGUGGUGGCCAGUUCUGCAUCCCAGAUCAGCUAUCAUCAAGUUAAGCAGGACAUGGAAGACUCCCGGAAAAUCAGUUAUACUCUAUUCAUCUAUCAGCGUGGUAUCAUUUUACUGUACAUGUGCAUCUGACUACAAUGGUUGGCCGGACUACUGACAUAUGCCUGCCGAUCACAAUAAGGAAAAACUUGAAAAUAGUUCUCGAGAGAUCUGCGCCCUUGGAAAACCAAUAUGACGUCGCAUCAUCAUUGUACUAUUGUUUUUCGCCAGCCUUGCAUUCAACCGUCGAUGAAAGCGAAGAAAAUGAUCGCAUCUAUCGGGACGAUAGGUGGAAGGGAGAGGUUACCGAAAACAUCGCUGGAGCACCUCCUAAACGGUUUCCAUCAUCAGUGCGUGGUGUAAUAGCUUAGACGUACAUCCAUAGUAUGGGGCAAUUGGUGGUAGUUUGGCCGAUAUCUCCGAGUCUGGAAGCUCAACUGGUGGCCGGUACUCCAUAUCAGCUACUAAGUCCUCUAAGAUGCAGUCAAGGCUUUAAUCUGGCAUUUUUGAAAUCAAAUUCUCUUCAAACCUCCCAUGCCUUUCAUCGUGAUCCGAAGCUAAAUAAGAAUUUUCAUAGCUGUCGCGUGACUGUUGACGAAAGACGAGGUUCCGAGUUGAUGGGGUACUCUGUCAUAUUGUCGGCAAAUCAGAUUGCCCAUUACAUUCAGUUCAAACAUCAAGGUUGUUUUGAUGCAAACAGACCGCAUUGACAGCGUUCAUUCAAAUCACCAAGUCCUUGAAGAUGAGAAUAUCGGAGGUGACUCAGUCCGAAUUAUAUUUUAUUCAUUUUCCCUCCUCCCAGUGUUAUCUCUGUGAGAAAACAAACAACUGCCAUAAUAUCGGAAUGGACAUUACCUCGCCCUAUCCAGUGUGUUUGUGCUAUCAAUUGCAUCAAAAGUAGCAUAUUUUAUGCAUGUGAGAAUCGGAAAAAUAAUCCUGCAGAGAUAUUCAUCCUAGGCCCAAACCAACAUGAUGUUCGCAUCGUCGUACGAUCCUUUCUCGCAAGGUCCCCUAUAUUCAACUGUUGACAAAAUGGGAGAAAAUUAUCACAUCUAUCACUCUAUCAGCAGGACUGAUGCUGUAAUGGUCACCGAGCAGAGUUGUCUGAGCCGUCAAUGUCGACACAAAAAUUGGGUUAACCUUGUUGGUCGCUAGAACUGCAUACAGAUCAGCUAUCAUAACGUUAAGAUCCCUCUUUUGGUUUGAAUUCCGGAAAGGGAACUUCUGGUCCAGCCAGGAUACGUUGUUUGUGCACAUUCCACAGCCCGAUAAAGUGCAUCUUUGUCACUGGGUCAAGAUUGUCGAUUAUUUCACCCCGCAUCAAUGCUGCUAUGUUGGCGUAAAUAGCUCCAUAGUCGACCCUUCCGACUGGAGAUUGAGCUGGGUAUGUUCCAGAGUGCAGUUGGAAGUGGAGUGGCAGAUUUUCAGAGUAGUCAACACCUUUCAUCUGGCGCAGUUCUUCAAUUUUUGUGUUCAAAACAAUUUCCCAAGCAGCCUUAUCCCUGUCUUCCUCAAAUUGAGUGAAUAGAUAGCGUACGCUAUCAACAGUUUGGUUGGGAAAUUGGUCCGCCAAUUUCUUGAAAUCUCCAUCAAAACCGAUUUUAAAGAUGGAGAGGAGUCUUUCUUGUUCUUCUAUGCUCCAAUCUCCGAAUCCUUUUUUCAUCUCUGGGACGGAGUUCUUAACCUGUAUCGAAAAACAUUCAAAGACUAUGUUUAGGCGUCACGUCUCCAGCUUUAGGGCAUUGUGUGGGAGAGGCCUGUGCUGCAUUCUACAAACAACACAUGUUUAAAGGAUUAAUGAAUUUCUCAUUUCCACAGCAUCAACACUUUUGGAGGUAGAAGCACGCUCCCAUCUCCCUGCCCUUUCUUCAUUGGAAGAGUGACUUUCUGCUGCUGUUCCUUCUUCCCCAGAAAAUAAUUUCCUCCGUUUUCCUCUGUUAUCUUUUCUUGAACUGUGUUCUGGAGUAUUACUCAUUUUUUCACUCACUGAAUCUAAGAAACACAAAUGAAUCACGGUUAAUUAUGACAGCUUGACAAAAACCAGUAGAAUAAUAUUACGUAAUGAGAAACUGAAGAAAAAUUUUAAGUCUUCAAUACUCGAGCAACUGCCAACUGUGGUACUCGAGCAAAGUCAAGGUAUUUCAAACUUUUUCUCAACCAGGAAGGUACGAGUACGAACUUCGAGUCAAUUCCGUCAUAAGCAGUCACUACAGUCACGAAUUCACGAUACACAAUCUAACAAUCACGAUGCUACAGUCACGCAAUCACAACCUCUCGUGCUCUCGAGUUUCGAAUCCAGAAUCAGCUGGUAACGUGUACUGGAAUUUAUACUUGGCAAUUCCGUUUGAUCAUGUGGCCUGCCGUACAAUUUCCCAAAAUGUCGUCUCUUGCUCUUGUUAUAUUUUGCACGUUUCGUCACAAGAUGAGGUAUUUCCACGCCAUUCGACCAAGCUGAACCAAAAGUGAACCAUUUAAAACAACAUGUCAAAGAUCUUGCCUUUCUCCACGUGGUCACUGCCUUUGCAUGAAGUUGCGUUUUUGUGAGGGUCUCUACUCUGACUAAUGUGAUGAAAAGAAGAAAUAUGAAUAGGUGGCUUUGUUGCAGCCAGCUGGUGAAAGGGAGUUCAAGUCAAGUUGAGCUGCAGCUUCUGUAAGCAGUCUACAUCUCUGGUGUUAUCCUGAAGUGGGGAAGUGUUACCUCAAGUGUAACAGCAAAAAAUACAUCUUGAAAUGGACAUGGUGAUAAUGUGAUGCAUCUUCAUGCAGUCUAUACAGGUGGUGUUUUUGUAGAAGCAAGACUUGAAGCUUAGCUACAAGAAUAUUUUCUGAAAUGUCAAAAGUUCAACUCUAAACUGACACAGGAAUUAAGUGACAGAGACCACAAUUCUUCCCGUCUUUCGUGUUGAUUCCGUUGCCCAUAAUAAUGAUGGAUUACUCACGUUAUGUGCCUGGCAUGUAUAUCAUUCGCUUUCCCCUCCCUGGCCGUGAACUUGGGGAAUUAGGAAGCCAUGGUUGUAGUGCGUGUUUGAUCCAGCGUGACUUUAAUCACCUUCACACAAUUCCAUGGCGUCACGUGAAGAAACGAGAAUCAAUAACGAUUCCGGUCUGGUGACGACAUCGAGAAGUCUGGGUUUCCGUUCAGCCACACAAGAUAUUGCAUCUAUUGAAUUGGGAUCGUUAAAAACAUCACGUGUCGUUGCACCUUAACGACGAUGGGCGUAUUUGGUUGCGCCACGUUGACUUUAAAAGAGGAAGGAAGAGAGUGAGGGCGCGGGGGGGUUUGCGACCUCCAGAGGGGACAGAGAAAGACGUCGGAAUCUUCUUCUUCUUUUUGUAAAAGACUUUGGCAGCGACCUCCUCCUCCUCCUGUAGUCACCAUAGAGGAUAGGUUUAAAAAGCCUACGACUCGAGUCUGCACGUGUUCAGUUGCCGGCCGAGUGUCGAGACUUGCACAACGAUCUCAGCAAACUACUUGGAAGAGAACAGGUGAUGAGAAUAUGAUGGCCAACUUGUUGAUGUUCCUCACCGCUGCGUUCCUGACGGUUCCUGAUUUCGUCCGGAAGCGUUCAUUCAGCUGCUGCCAAGAACAGAAGAGGACGUCAAUGGACAGGAGAGUUGGCAGAACCGAUUGAUUGCAGUUUUCCGCUUAAUGUCGGACGAAAUUCAUCAACGUCACAUAAUUCACUAAUCGAACGAGUUUCUUUCUGCCAUUUUACCACAAAUGGGCCGUAUGUCGACGGUACACUUCCUUUCGGAGCCGGACCCAGUGGCGAACGCCAACUCGACUCGUACUGCGACGCCUGGACGUCCAGCGACGCCAAGACGUCCGGAGUGGCCGCCUCUCUCAUCACCUCCUCUCCGUCCCACCAACACCAGCAGCAGCAGACGGGCGGCAGUGGCAAGUUGCUGGACCAGGACAAGGUCUCCUGUCAGAACCGAUUCGUCGCCCUGUGCAUCGAAGCCACCAGCCAAGUGGUCGCCACCGGUGGCAGUGGGCGGGUGAAGCGGACGGCCGAGCACAUCAUCUCGGAAGAUCACUGGAUUCACUGCCAAGCCCACCUUCAGUCUCUCUUUUAAGAUGUUCAUUUGUCGUGUUCCAGAAAUCUCUCUCACGCAAAUUUUCGAUUUAAAUCUGAAAAUGAUUGGCAAAAAUGACCCACGAGUCGGCCAAAGACCCGAAGGCAGUUCUUUGUCUCUGCAUUUCCUUUUUUAAAAAAUGUUUUCUAAACUUGUGCAGCUUUUUUUGGGGAGGAUUAUGAAACAAUCCGACGACAAUUGACCCAAAAUGUCGUCGUUGGCGAUUUAUAUAUUUAUGAAUUUAUACCCCUUCCUUAUUUUUCUCUCGCCCCCCGAGGAAUGAUGAGAUUGUCUGUGUGUGCGUGUUGCAUCAGUCACAAAAUGUGUUUUGCGUCUAAAGUCUUUGAUAUAACACGUAUAUAGCAACUACCAAUUACCCUUGUUAGAUGUCGCUGGCAUCGCUUUGUUUUCUUGUCACGUCAAAAGUUCUUGCUGCUUUUCAUGCUGCUUUCUUCGUGAUUUUCUUUACCUUUUUUGGAAUAAAUUCAACGCCGUUUAAAAUGAGAAAACGUGUUGAAAGGGUCGUGCAGCUUACUGCUGUG